This 373-nucleotide ribosomal RNA is filed under the name uncultured organism. RNAcentral describes it as "partial 16S ribosomal RNA". It matches the Rfam family "Bacterial small subunit ribosomal RNA", at positions 527 to 896 of the family's 1533-position model. The record is from RNAcentral.
GUAGGGUGCGAGCGUUAAUCGGAAUUACUGGGGCGUAAAGCGUGCGCAGGCGGCUUUGCAAGACAGAUGUGAAAUCCCCCGGGGCUCAACCUGGGGAACUGCAUUUGUGACUGCAAGGCUAGAGUACGGCAGAGGGGGAUGGAAUUCCGCGUGUAGCAGCGAAAUGCGUAGAUAUGCGGAGGAACACCGAUGGCGAAGGCAAUCCCCUGGGCCUGUACUGACGCUCAUGCACGAAAGCGUGGGGAGCAAACAGGAUUAGAUACCCUGGUAGUCCACGCCCUAAACGAUGUCAACUGGUUGUUGGACGGCUUGCUGUUCAGUAACGAAGCUAACGCGUGAAGUUGACCGCCUGGGGAGUACGGCCGCAAGGUUG